Molecule: long non-coding RNA, 478 nt
Organism: Lolium rigidum
Lineage: Eukaryota; Viridiplantae; Streptophyta; Magnoliopsida; Poales; Poaceae
Exons: 2
Source: RefSeq, a predicted model, not a curated record
GUGCACAAGCAGAGCACUGCCACGCGAGGAUCCGCGGCCGGCCGACCUGCACGUCUCUGUACAAGCACAGCAAGGGAAACUCCCUCUGUUGGCCCUGACGGCCGCGUCCAAUACUAUCCACUAGGGAAUUGCACAUGUGGAAUAAGUUAUGGGCAAGGAAGAACACGAGUUGCAAUGAUUCAUUCUCUCAAUCCACCAAGAAUUCAGUUUUCUGGUAGAAGCUUCCGCAUGGGGAUGACAGAAAAUUAACCCUAAUAAAGACGAUCUAGGAGGAUAUCCAAAGAAGUAAGUUCAUAUUCCAUAAUGUUAUGUCCCACUCUUCUCUAUUUUAGCCAAGAGUAUUUGGAAUAUACUUAUCCAUCGACAGUUUUAGAGGCUAUCCGAAAAUGAUCUCUGUCUCAUGUGUGAGCGUAUCAGGCUAUCCGAAAAAUCAUGUAUGUCUCAUGUGUGAGCGUAUCAAAAUUUUACAGUCGCUUGA